Macrosteles quadrilineatus (aster leafhopper) is the source of this 279-nucleotide long non-coding RNA. RefSeq lists it as uncharacterized. The transcript has 2 exons. NCBI's taxonomy places the organism in Eukaryota, Metazoa, Arthropoda, Insecta, Hemiptera, Cicadellidae. The record is from RefSeq and is a predicted model, not a curated record.
UACUUGGAGGUAUAAAUACAGCCUGAAUUGCUUAUUCAUAUCAUUGAUUAGUGCUUCAAUUAUUCUCAAAAAAUGCUUCAUCUACGUUACUUCUACCUCAUUAUUGCUGCCUUGUUCAUGAUUUCAGGCCUUCCAACAUUGGAAGCAAAGAAUAAAGGACCUUGGUGUUACAAUAAAUACUGUAGUAAAGGCCAAAGCUGUGUAAAUCGUAAAUGCAAAUACUAACUGAAGACAGUAGAAUUUUGUUGAUUUCUCAAUAAAAUAAAAAUUCAACAUUAA